Molecule: long non-coding RNA, 325 nt
Filed under: Nicotiana benthamiana
Lineage: Eukaryota; Viridiplantae; Streptophyta; Magnoliopsida; Solanales; Solanaceae
Description: long non-coding RNA (NBEN_LNC016703)
Source: RNAcentral
CAUCCCCUAAAAUAUAUACAAUUAAGCACAUUUUCACUUUUUCUCUUCCUCUUCUGCCUCUAAUUUGUUUAAUUGCACUAGUGGUUGUCCAUCAACCAUUAGAGGUGGUAUGUAAUCUAGAGCCAUACCAUUUGUUGCAAAUCUGUUUUUCUGAAAUAGGGUAGCCUAAACCUUUUUGGGUUCUUCAGUUCUGUUUCUGGUGACCUCAGAAUUCUCCGCUACUUCUAGCACUGGUUGCUCUUGGACCUGUAUUGACCUCUGCAUGGUUACUGUUCCAUGGGUUGUCUUCUUCGUUAGAUCUGAUUCUGCUCCAAUCUGAGCUGGG